UACAGAGGGUGCGAGCGUUAAUCGGAAUUACUGGGCGUAAAGCGCACGUAGGUGGCGACGUAAGUCGGGUGUGAAAGCCCCGGGCUCAACCUGGGAAUUGCAUUCGAGACUGCAUUGCUGGAGUACGGAAGAGGAGGGCGGAAUUCCCGGUGUAGCGGUGAAAUGCGCAGAUAUCAGGAGGAACACCGGUGGCGAAGGCGGUUACCUGGAGCUUUGCUGACGCUGAUGCGCGAAAGCGUGGGGAGCGAUCCGG
RNAcentral lists this ribosomal RNA (253 nucleotides) under uncultured bacterium. RNAcentral describes it as "partial 16S ribosomal RNA". It matches the Rfam family "Bacterial small subunit ribosomal RNA", at positions 524 to 776 of the family's 1533-position model. The record is from RNAcentral.